GACCUCGUCGUAUAAUGGUAGUACGCCAUGCAAAUGUCCGGUUUUGUGCAUGUGUCUUUCUCAUGAGGGUCUCAGUUCAAAUCUGAGCGAGGUCG
This is a non-coding RNA of Mycena galericulata, 95 nucleotides long. The record is from the annotation of a GenBank genome assembly. NCBI's taxonomy places the organism in Eukaryota, Fungi, Basidiomycota, Agaricomycetes, Agaricales, Mycenaceae.